Non-coding RNA from Nothobranchius furzeri (turquoise killifish), 5051 nucleotides. The record is from RefSeq and is a predicted model, not a curated record. NCBI's taxonomy places the organism in Eukaryota, Metazoa, Chordata, Actinopteri, Cyprinodontiformes, Nothobranchiidae.
CCCCCCCCCCCCCCCCCCAGCUAUGGAGCCUAUGGUGAUGCCAGCUAUCGCGCCUGAUGAAAGUCGUCCUUAGGGUUGGUGGUUUGUCGGACCAGUUGUUGUGAUGGGAGUUGGUGGACCAGUUGUUGUUGUGGUUGAUGGUGGUGGUGGUUGGUGGACCAGUUGUUGUGUUGUUUGGUGAAAUAAUUCCAGUAAUUGUUGAUACUGUGACAUUUUGAGUUGACAGAGACCCAUCAAGUGUUCCAGAUGUGACAGUGGAUUGUGGAUUGAUAUCAGCUUCACACAAAACAAUCAGUAAAAUAUAAAAACAGAAGAAAGUGUUGAAGUAAAUCAAAGAAAAGCAUAUUUAACCCCAAACCUGGAUUCUUGGCUGGUGUCGAAAUGUUUGUAUUAAUAAUCAUCAAGAUCUUCUUUAUGGGUGUAAAGCUGAUCUUUUAUUUGUUUCAAACAAAAAAUGAAAUAAUCUAAAAGUUGUUUAAAAAACAAGUCAAUAAUUAUGACAAAUGGCAUUUUAUAUUAUCUACGCUAACUUUAAAUCUUUGAUAUAAAAACAACUAGAUCACAGGUUUACGAGUCCAACAUCAAUUUUCUUCUUUAAUUUAGCUAAAAUGUAACCUCAUUAACUCAAACAGUGCAGAUUUGGUCUCAUCAUUUUAUGUGAGGGACCUCUCAUACUUCCAUGUCAAACUGUCUGUUCCUUUUUUGUCUCGAUAAAAACCAAGACCAUCAUCUUGUUACAUUAAUGGUUAACUGUUAUUUAAUGUGUGUGUGAUGGUCAAAUAUUUAUUUUGUAAGUUUUUUUUUCUACCUGUGCAAAGCAGGAAGAGAGCUGCUGCAAUGUUUAUUUUCAUCGCUGCAGAGUAAUAAUUCCUCAAGUACAGUGAUAAUUCAGAUUUCUAGUUGGCGUCUUUGGAAAUGCUCCUCUAUGGAAACAUACAAGCAUAAAUAUAGAUGCAUUCAGAAUAUGGGACAAUGCAACAGUGAAUUUUAGGAUACGUUUUAACUAAAGGCUUAUCUUUUAAUUUACCUUUAACCUUUUAUUUGGUGAAGGCUUCUAUUAAAAGUUUGUUGAUCUUUAUUUUCAGUGAGUUAAUAAAAAAAGUUCCCAUGCGAUGCCACGUGAUGCAAGUGGAGACAAGUUCUUGCUUUAUGGAAAUGUUAUAUUAAGUUUUGUCCAUUGGUCCAUGUAAUAAACAGGAAGCUAGUUUCAGUUUAACAUAUUCGUUAGCAUAAAGAUAUUUUCUUCCUUUUACAGUAAUGGCCACCUUUUCCCAUUUGACGGAUCUGAAGUUGCCAGUGAAGAGAGUGAAUGUAAAUUUAUGCUGUACUGACCAUUUCAUUGUGGAUCAUUUCUGUGUUUUAAACCAAAUUCAUUCCUUUUUUAUCCUUUUACACAUUUACUUGGUAAUCUUCAACAGUCGUUUGUUGUCAAACCUACAAUUUUAGCUUUUGUAACACAUUCUGUCACUAAACUAAAAUCACAAGGAGCUGAAAAAGCACAUUUGUCACAUGUUCAAUGUUGAUACUGGGUCUAAAUGAGGCUACAUGGGCUUACGCGCUGUGUUGGUUGACGUGGUUCUGCAGUAUCGUUUGGACAUCCGGGGCAGUUCCACAGGAUUGGCAGACUGGGGUGGUGGUACCCCUAUUUAAAAAGGGGGACCGCAGAGUGUGCUCCAACUACAGGGGGAUCUCACUCCUGAGCCUCCCAGGUAAGGUCUAUUCAGGGAUUCUAGAGAGGAGGGUCCGUCGGAUUGUCGAACCUCGGAUUCAGGAGGAGCAAUGUGGUUUUCGUCCUGGCUGUGCAACACUGGACUAGCUCUAGAGCUCCUGGAGAGUUCGUAAGAGUUUGCUCAACCAUUCUACAUGUGUUUUGUGGAUUUGGAGAAACUGCAUCCCCGGGGAGCCCUGUGGGGGGCUACUCCAGGAGUUUGGGGUACCAGGCCCUCAUAUACAGGCUGUUAGGUCCCUGCAACUAGUAUCACUGCCGGCAGUAAGUUGAGCUAGUUCCCAGUGAAAGUUGGACUCCGCCAAGGCCGCCCUUUGUCACAGAUUCUGUUCAUAACCUUUAUGGACAGGAUUUCUAGGUGCAGCCAAAGUUUUGAGGCAUCCGCUUUGGUGGCCUGAGGAUCAGGUCUCUGCUUUUUGCAGAUGAUGUGGUCCUGUUGGCUUCAUCAGAACGUUAUCUCUGGCUCUCACUGGAGCAGUUCGCAGCCGAGUGUGAAGCAGCUGGGAUGAGAAUCAUCUCCUCCAAAUCUGAGACCAUGGUCUUGAGUAAGAAAAGGGUAGAACGCCUUCUCCAGGUCAGGGAUGAGGUCCUGCCCCAAGUGGAGGAGUUUAACUAUCUCUGGGUCUUGUUCACGAGUGAGGGAAAACUGGAGCGUGAGAUCGAUAGGUGGAUUGGUGCUGCAUCUGCAGUGAUGCGGGCGUUGUACCGGUCUGUCGUGGUGAAGAGAGAGCUGAGUCAGAAGGUGAAGCUCUCGAUUUACCGGUCGAUCUACGUUCCUACCCUCACCUAUGAUCAUGAGCUUUGGGUAGUGACCGAAAGAACGAGAUGGAUAUAAGCGGUCAAAAUGAGCUUUCGCCACAGGGUGUCUGGGCUCUCCCUUAGAGAUAGGGUGAGAAGCUUGGUAGACCUGCUACUCCUUCAUGUCGAAAGGAGUCAGUUGCUGUGGCUUGGGCAUCUGGUCAGGAUGCCUCUCCGGGGAGGUUUUCUGGGUACGUCCAACCGGGAGGAGAUCCAGGACACACUAGAGGGACUAUGUCUCUCAGCUGGCCAGGGAAUGACUUGGGAUUUCCCUGGAGGAGCUGGCCCAAGUAGAUGGGGAGAGGGAAGUCUGAGCCUCUCGGCUUAUGCCCCCGCGACCUGACUCAGGAUAAGCUUGUGAAAAUGGAUGGACUCUACCAGCAAGUUAAAUCACUCAAAGCAAGUUCCAGUUCAAGACUCGUGCUAAGUGAUGCAGCAGCAGCAUCACACGCUCAGUAGGGUUAGAGUUUGGAUGUUGGAAUAGUGAAAAUAAACAUGGAAAACUGUAAAGCAGGGCUAUUCAAUCCCGGGCCGGUAUCCAGCACACUUUAGUGGUUUCUCUAGUCCAACACACUUGAUUCAGUGGUUGAAUCACCUGUGCAGCAGCUCAUCAGGCUCUGCAGAAGCCUGUUGAUCACCUGCUGAUUGAAAUAGGUGUGUUGAAGCGGAGUUCAAACUAAAACGUGCUGAAUACUGGCCUUUAAGGCCUGGAGUUGAAUAGCCCUGCUGUAAAGGUUUAAAAACUGAAUUUCAUUCAUUCUUCUGAUGUAUACAGUGUAUUAUUUAACUGUUGUUGAUCGCUCUAAACACCAGAAAUUAGCCUCAAAUUUCGUCACCUGUUUGGCUUUCACUGAUUAGAUAGUCAAAUGACUUCCUCCUGGAUGUUAGAUCCAACUUCGUCUCUUAUCUUGCUCACACAACGUGUAAUACCAGUGGGGACAUCUGCCUUUGUGGAAAUGCUUUGUUUAGAUUUCCCCCUAGUCCAUUUAAUAAACAGGAAGCAAGUUUCAAUUUAACAUAUUUGUUAGCAUAAAUGUCUUUCCUUCCUUUUUACAAGAACAGUCUCUUAUUAUUUUAUGAGAAUUUUGCUGCUGCUGGUGUAUCGCUCCACCUGAUCAGCUGCCAGUGACAUGCCAGCUGCACACGCACAUUAGCUCACUGAUGCGGAUGAUUUUUGGCUGAAACAAACGGCAUGGACUAAGUAAGUGAUCUUGUAUGAAAAGAAAAGAAUUAAAAGCUUGUGGUAUUUCAUCACAUUAAAAACCAAACCAUUCAUUCGACAGACACCUGCAGUCUCUGAUGAUCAGAUCAAAGCCAAACUGAACCUGCCCAGAGAACCUUCAGCAGCAAAUUUCCUUAUCGCUCCUGAUAACCAACGUGACCUUCUGCUCACUGACUCAUCUACGGUCUGAAACUUACAGGACUAAAGUAAGUUCCAGCACUCCUUAGUGAACAUUGUCCACCGAAACUAUGGGGAUGAUGGAUUUAUAGACAUUUGUCACAUUUAGAAUAUGUUAUGCAAGGUUUUAUGUAGUUUAUUUGCAAUAGAAUUAAAGUCAAAGUCCUAUUAGCCAUCAUCACACUGGUGUAAUUACGUCCAGGAACUAUUUGGUGGUUUAACCCCCCAAUCCAACCCCUUAAAUCUGAGUGUCAGUCAGGAAGGCACUGAGUCCCAUUUUUAAAGACCGAGAUUUGAGCCUUGAUGACCCAGGACGGACGCUCUACCACUAGGCCACUGAGAAGGUUGUCAGCUUCAUCUUAAUACAUGUAAUCAUGAAAGUGUAACACAAACCUUAUCAGAGCAUUGAGUGCAGUUCAUUAUCACAUCGAGUCACUGACUUGUGUCAGACUUGACAGCAAUCCUCAUACUAAGCAAGCAUGUAGCGACAGUAGAGAGGAAAACUCCCUUUUAACAGGAAGAAACCUCCAACUGAACCUGGAUCAGUAUGAGCAGCCGUUCGCCACGACUCACUAGGGGGUUUGCGCAGAUGGAAAACACACACACACACACACACACAGUGUUGUUUCUAUGUCUGCAUACUUUGCGGUUCCUUUGUAGAUAUUCUAUAAUGACUAAUUAUUUCAUCAGAUGUUCCAGCAGUAGCACGUUCAACGCUAAGGAAAUACAGGAAGACUAUUUUCACGUCUAACCUGCAUGUGAAACUCAGAGUCACCAAUCUUGUUUCAAAAGUGGCAAAAAAUGGUUUCUCGGUGAAUUUGGUCUUUGAAUAAUGAGAAAUAACUUUUCCUUGUUGCUACUGGAAAAUAAAUGGCUGUGACGAACUGGGUUAUAUUUGCAAAUCAACUUUAUUUGAAAACAUGAAAACUUAACCAACUUUGGAUGUGGAAGAAUAAAACAUCAGCACUGUUGGUUGUGAAUGUGAAAAUGUUCAGAAGAUGCAGAGAAUAGUUUUCCUUUUCUAGACUAAAUCACUUCCUUCUCUGGUAGCACAAGGACUAAAAGGCUGGAAAGCCAGAAUGGAGCCACGCUGCAAAAUAAAUAAAAAUAACAAAAAGUGCAAAAGAA